GCACCUGUAGCUUAAUGGAUAGAGCACAAGAUUCCGGAUCUUGUGGUUGGAGGUUCGAAUCCUCUCAGGUGCGCAA
Molecule: transfer RNA, 76 nt
Filed under: Candidatus Levybacteria bacterium RIFCSPHIGHO2_02_FULL_39_36
Lineage: Bacteria; Candidatus Levyibacteriota
Also listed under: 1 other name
Description: tRNA-Arg
Rfam family: tRNA
About the family: Transfer RNA (tRNA) molecules are approximately 80 nucleotides in length. Their secondary structure includes four short double-helical elements and three loops (D, anti-codon, and T loops).
Source: RNAcentral